UGGGGAAUUUUGGACAAUGGGGGAAACCCUGAUCCAGCCAUCCCGCGUGUGCGAUGAAGGCCUUCGGGUUGUAAAGCACUUUUGGCGGGAAAGAAACGUCGCGGGUUAAUACCCCGCGAAACUGACGGUACCUGCAGAAUAAGCACCGGCUAACUACGUGCCAGCAGCCGCGGUAAUACGUAGGGUGCAAGCGUUAAUCGGAAUUACUGGGCGUAAAGCGUGCGCAGGCGGUUCGGAAAGAAAGAUGUGAAAUCCCAGAGCUUAACUUUGGAACUGCAUUUUUAACUACCGGGCUAGAGUGUGUCAGAGGGAGGUGGAAUUCCGCGUGUAGCAGUGAAAUGCGUAGAUAUGCGGAGGAACACCGAUGGCGAAGGCAGCCUCCUGGGAUAACACUGACGCUCAUGCACGAAAGCGUGGGGAGCAAACAGGAUUAGAUACCCUGGUAGUCCACGCCCUAAACGAUGUCAACUAGCUGUUGGGGCCUUCGGGCCUUGGUAGCGCAGCUAACGCGUGAAGUUGACCGCCUGGGGAGUACGGUCGCAAGAUU
Molecule: ribosomal RNA, 547 nt
Filed under: uncultured bacterium
Lineage: Bacteria
Description: partial 16S ribosomal RNA
Rfam family: Bacterial small subunit ribosomal RNA
Source: RNAcentral